RNAcentral lists this long non-coding RNA (873 nucleotides) under Homo sapiens (human). RNAcentral describes it as "HSALNT0406965". The record is from RNAcentral. Lineage: Eukaryota; Metazoa; Chordata; Mammalia; Primates; Hominidae.
CCACCCGCACUCUUGCAAAUGGCAAAGACCUCAGAUCAUGAAUCAAAGGGUACCAGCACACAGUUCAAAAAGGUGGUGGGGUGGAGAUGUUGAAUGGGCACAAUGAGCACAGACUCUACUUCCUUCAGUGUAAAGCAACCUCUGUUGAAAAGUGGUUACCCUUUAAACUACUUUAAAAGGCAAAUCACUGAGCCACCGGUGUCUCCAAGACAGAUGAACGAGCAUUAGUAACUUACAAGUAUCUCAUUUGGUGUUUCAAGACAAGUAACUAUAGAAAAACCAGAGAAAGAGCUGUUACAGGUUCCUGGAACGUUUGCCUGGGAAGGUAUCUUAACAAUUUCCUAAUUCAGGUCUUCAUUUUUCCAGUGGAGGAAAGCGAAGUGUACGAGGUGUGCAAUUUGCCCAAUGGCCCUGCAAUUAAUCCAGGAGCCCCGAGGUGACACCAGGAACCAACUGGAGCAGCUCCGGGAUGCCUGAGUCCACCACCCCUGUCCACCUCUACUCCUUUCUUCAAAAAAACAAUUUUUUUUUUUUUUAUGUUGGGGACUGGAUUUUGGAAGACACGAAUUCCAGACAGUUAACUGUCUUUGCCUGAUUAUAAAUAUUAAUGAUUCUUGUCAACUCUCUGCCUGCUUCUCUCCAAUUUUUAAAGUUGGCAGUCAGAACGUCCAGUCUCAACAGUGCAAAUCAAUUCAAGGAAAACUCAGUAAAUUAGCAGAUGACAGAACAACUGCAGUGUCUCAUCUCAAAACGACACAUCUCACACGUGGAAAAUCAAUGUCUGAAGACUGGAAUAAGGGAUAUGGAGAUAGAAGAAAUCUAAGGAAGAAUGAAGGUUCUCAUUCCUUUUUCCAGUUGCACAGUGUUUCAGUU